This is a long non-coding RNA of Gambusia affinis (western mosquitofish), 127 nucleotides long. RefSeq lists it as uncharacterized. The record is from RefSeq and is a predicted model, not a curated record. Lineage: Eukaryota; Metazoa; Chordata; Actinopteri; Cyprinodontiformes; Poeciliidae. The transcript has 2 exons.
CUCCAUCGUACUGCUUGCGCUGCUUGUGUAUCUCCGUAGCGACGUCAUGUUCUUGGGGGAGCUUCUGCGUUCCUUUUCGGUCCAACGCGGUGAGCUCUUUCCAGAAUCAGCGGACUUUUCAGAGCAG